RNAcentral lists this long non-coding RNA (577 nucleotides) under Phasianus colchicus (ring-necked pheasant). Its description in RNAcentral is "lncRNA (ENSPCLG00000010169.1)". The record is from RNAcentral. Lineage: Eukaryota; Metazoa; Chordata; Aves; Galliformes; Phasianidae.
GGCUGGGUUCACUCUUAGCCUCUCACUCCUCGCUGUCCUUUCUCGCUCUGUGAGGUCGCUUCGCGCUCGUUGCUGCUCCUCGCGGAGCUCCUCAGCACGAGACGAGGGCCGAGCGGCCGCUGCGGAGCUCAGGAGAGGAGCGCCGAGGGAGGCACAGCGGAGCGGCUCCUGGGCCUCGUUGUGCGGGCACUGAGCUGCGGGGGAAGAAGGGCAGUGAUGAGUAGCAGCCCAGCAAAGCAGAGCAGGUUGCAGAGGGAGCUGUGCCCAGCCUUGGCUGCAGGAUGGAAAUGAAGGACCAAAGUCCUCUCUGGAUCCUCAGGAUUAAAUUCUCAGCAGGACCUCCCUAUGCUGUUGUGCUAAGGAGCACAUUCAGAUGAGUCUCACCUGUGGUGCAGAGGUUGGAAAGCAGCCUGAGAUCAGUGCUGAGGUGUGGGAAGAACUUUGGGAUGGGUUACCUGGGGGAAGAGGCCAACCCCUGUCUUUCUUGAAGAAAGAUAGCACUCUUGAUUGGAAUAAAGCCUUGAGUGUUGGGCGAAAUCACUGUGGGCCCAUGCAAUGCAGGCUAGUAGCUAUUUAG